This 196-nucleotide long non-coding RNA is filed under the name Chinchilla lanigera (long-tailed chinchilla). Its description in RNAcentral is "lncRNA (ENSCLAG00000025196.1)". Lineage: Eukaryota; Metazoa; Chordata; Mammalia; Rodentia; Chinchillidae. The record is from RNAcentral.
AGCCAUUUGAGCAAACUGUUAUAACUGUCUCCAAAUGCCUUUGCCAAGAAAUUUAAUACUAAGAUCUCAGGUUCUCACACUUCCUGUUGGUCUCGGCUAGAGUAAGUGGUCUACUGAAGUUAAGUAUGCAGGCUUAUAACUGCAGUAUCCUUUUGAUAAUUUUCUAGGUAUAAUCUGAUCAGUCCAAGAUAGCAUU